UCCGGGGCUAAAACUUACUACCGAAGCUACGGCAUCAGUAAUGAUGGGUAGGGGAGCUUCCCAUACGGGUUGAAGCAUGACCGUAAGGACAUGUGGACAGUAUGGGAGGGAGAAUGUUGGCAUGAGUAGCGAGAUGUGGGUGAGAAUCCCACAGGCCGUAAACCCAAGGUUUCCAGGGGAAGGUUCGUCCGCCCUGGGUUAGUCGG
This 206-nucleotide ribosomal RNA is filed under the name Clostridioides difficile. RNAcentral's name for it is "partial 23S ribosomal RNA". It matches the Rfam family "Bacterial large subunit ribosomal RNA", at positions 1174 to 1387 of the family's 2925-position model. Lineage: Bacteria; Bacillati; Bacillota; Clostridia; Peptostreptococcales; Peptostreptococcaceae. The record is from RNAcentral.